GGAGUUUGGGCCGUGUCUCAGUCCCAAUGUGGCCGUCCGACCUCUCAGUCCGGCUACAGAUCGUCGCCUUGGUAAGCCGUUACCUUACCAACUAGCUAAUCUGACGCGGGCCCAUCUCAUACCACCGGAGUUUUUCACACUGUGUCAUGCGACACCGUGCGCUUAUGCGGUAUUAUCAGUCGUUUCCAACUGCUAUCCCCCAGUAUGAGGCAGGUUGCCCACGCGUUACUCACCCGUCCGCCACUAAAGCUUAACAAGAUUUGACCGAAGUCUCGUCAGCGUUAAGCUUCCGUUCGACUUGCAUGUGUUAGGCACGCCGCCAGCGUUCAUCCUGAACCAUGAUCAAACUCU
RNAcentral lists this ribosomal RNA (351 nucleotides) under uncultured Butyrivibrio sp. RNAcentral describes it as "partial 16S ribosomal RNA". The record is from RNAcentral. Lineage: Bacteria; Bacillati; Bacillota; Clostridia; Lachnospirales; Lachnospiraceae.